UUAGGAUUUUCCAGUCUUGCCUAUUUCUGUCAAGUUUACCUGAGGUGACCGAACUCCGAAGGCCUCUGGGACAGUAGCGCGAUUGGCAGUUGCUGGUCUCUACUUUGUCUUUUUCUCCCCCUUUCCUUGAUUUUGAUCUGUCAUCCUUACAGUCCUGGUCAGUGGUGCUACUGCAGGUACAAUAGGCAAUCCAGUUGCUAGUCACCCACUGCUGCCCCUGCAUUGAAGAAGUGGGAGCACUGAAAGGGUGCAGUGAGACUGUGUGUGACUCAGCUGGAGGGCCAGGUCACUGAAAACCUGCUUGAGAAGUUUAACUAUCAACAGGGGUCACUGCAAGCAGAGCAAAAGUGAGAGAGUGCAGGUGCAGACACACCUGGCCAGCAGGGGCACUCACUUGAGUAAGAAGAAAAAAAUUGGAAAAGAAAGGCCUAAUGAAAGUGGAGAGUAAUGGUGCCAGACAUAGGAUGUGACCUGUCAAAGUACUGAUCUCUGGAGAAAGCUGUAGGGAUCUUAGCCCAGUUGGCAGCUACUGUUGAAGCUUCUUACCCC
Molecule: long non-coding RNA, 549 nt
Organism: Mauremys reevesii (Reeves's turtle)
Lineage: Eukaryota; Metazoa; Chordata; Testudines; Geoemydidae
Exons: 3
Source: RefSeq, a predicted model, not a curated record